Molecule: ribosomal RNA, 497 nt
Filed under: uncultured bacterium
Lineage: Bacteria
Description: partial 16S ribosomal RNA
Rfam family: Bacterial small subunit ribosomal RNA
Source: RNAcentral
GAUGAACGCUGGCGGCGUGCCUAAUACAUGCAAGUCGAGCGAACAGACGAGGAGCUUGCUCCUCUGACGUUAGCGGCGGACGGGUGAGUAACACGUGGAUAACCUACCUAUAAGACUGGGAUAACUUCGGGAAACCGGAGCUAAUACCGGAUAAUAUAUUGAACCGCAUGGUUCAAUAGUGAAAGACGGUUUUGCUGUCACUUAUAGAUGGAUCCGCGCCGCAUUAGCUAGUUGGUAAGGUAACGGCUUACCAAGGCAACGAUGCGUAGCCGACCUGAGAGGGUGAUCGGCCACACUGGAACUGAGACACGGUCCAGACUCCUACGGGAGGCAGCAGUAGGGAAUCUUCCGCAAUGGGCGAAAGCCUGACUGAGCAACGCCGCGUGAGUGAUGAAGGUCUUCGGAUCGUAAAACUCUGUUAUUAGGGAAGAACAAAUGUGUAAGUAACUAUGCACGUCUUGACGGUAUCUAAUCAGAAAGCCACGGCUAACUACGUG